GCACUUUUUAGUACACCAACACCAUGCUGGUGAUGUGAAAAGUCAUUUACCAAGCCUGGCAAUGGCCAGCUUCUGAGCCACACACCUCACAAUCCAAAGGAAGGAUGUCACAUUUGCCUGAGGGAAUAAAUGGAGAAGGUGUCAUCUAUUCCAGCCCUAAGGAUGGAGGAAGUGCUCCUGCCACCUCAGACACAAAGAAAGUCUCAGUCAUCACAAUAACAAUGCAUAUUAUCCAUACAAUGGAGAAGAAAUGGAGACCUUGGAGGGGUUCACUGCAGGUCAUAGAGGAGAGGUAAAAAUGCAGAGCUGGCCUCAAAAAAAUGAGGAAAAUAUGUGUGAAAGCAACACCCUUCGAGGAGGGAAAGAUGGGCACUGGGAAGGACUCUUCUCUUGUAAAAUUAUCUACAUCAGCAGGUGAGAAUCACAUUCUGUCACAAUAUAUUUCAACAGAUUUUGAAAGCACAAAAGCUAAGGGCAGCUGAAGUAGAAGAGAUUAUCAUAUCUCUGUGCAUAUACAGAUAAUAAAAA
This is a long non-coding RNA of Passer domesticus (house sparrow), 528 nucleotides long. RefSeq lists it as uncharacterized. The transcript has 3 exons. Lineage: Eukaryota; Metazoa; Chordata; Aves; Passeriformes; Passeridae. The record is from RefSeq and is a predicted model, not a curated record.